This 543-nucleotide ribosomal RNA is filed under the name Triticum aestivum (bread wheat). RNAcentral's name for it is "partial small subunit ribosomal RNA". Lineage: Eukaryota; Viridiplantae; Streptophyta; Magnoliopsida; Poales; Poaceae. The record is from RNAcentral.
AUGAAGCAGCUUGCAUUGGUUGAGCUUUUGGACAACCUUAGGGAAAUGAUAACGAAAUUGUUAGAGAAAAGGAGAGCCGUUGCCGGUGCGCUUCUAGGUUACAUACUACCUAGUGUGAUAAAGGAGUUGAAUUUGAAAAGCAAGGGGCUGCAUUAUUUGGAAGCAAGAGCAUCGCCAAAUAUAGCUGAGAUUUCAGGAAAUGGAUGGAGGCACACCGUUAACUUGGAGAAAAAUGAGUGCUCUUGUAGGAGAUGGCGGAUUUGUGUGGCAAGGUUCAAAGCGGCAUAUGAGGGAAUUCUCAUGCCAAUUAGGGGCAGGUCCCAAUGGCCCAAGGUAAAUCCUGGAUUUGAUAUGAUCCCUCCCAAGCUUACCAAGAGUGCUGGACGUCCAAGAACUAGGAGGAUAAAGAAUGACACCGAAGGUGGAACCGGCAGAAAACAUAAAUGCAAAAGGUGUGGAGCAUUAGGUCAUCUUUGGAAGACAUGCAAGGAGCCAGAGAUUGAAAGUGACGCGGACCGAGAUGCUACUCCUCCUCCACAAUAA